Molecule: ribosomal RNA, 1755 nt
Filed under: Candidatus Bathyarchaeota archaeon
Lineage: Archaea; Thermoproteati; Candidatus Bathyarchaeota
Description: bacterial SSU rRNA
Rfam family: Archaeal small subunit ribosomal RNA
Source: RNAcentral
ACUCCGGUUGAUCCUGCCGGACCCGACUGCUAUUAGGGUGAGACUAAGCCAUGCGAGUCUGCACCCUGGGCCAUGACAGGGUGCGGCGUACGGCUCAGUAAUACACGGCCAACCUACCCUUAGGAUGCGGAUAACCGCGGGAAAGGUGAAUCGCAACUUAAAAACCAUAACUAUAACAUUGCAUUAAACAUAUGGCAGCAAAUCGUUGAAAAUCUUUUUACCAUGAUUAGCCAGAAAGCCCAUGUCUUUUAAGGGUGAGAUGAAUGGUAUUAAACUUAAAUAGAUGCUUAAGCUCAAGCCUUUCUUAAGCGUGCUACUCGAAUGUGGUUCAGAUGUUUAAACCUGAAUAAGGCUCCAGACCAAGAUGGAUGUAAGGGCUUAAUAACGAUUCACCCCCGAAACUGCGGAUAACCCGCAAUAGGAGAGGAGGCCUGGAAUGGUCCCUCUCUGAAAAGACUUCAGAGUCAUGCUCUCUGAAGUCGCCUAAGGAUGGGGUCGUGUCCGAUCAGGUAGUUGGUGGGGUAACGGCCCACCAAGCCUAAGACCGGUAUGGGCCGUGAGAGCGGGAGCCCAGAGAUGGACCCUGAGACAAGGGUCCAGGCCCUACGGGGCGCAGCAGGCGCGAAAACUCCGCUAUGCGCGUAAGCGCGACGGGGUCACCCUAAGUGCCGCUCGCUGAGAGCGGCUUUUCCCCAGUCUAAACAGCUGGGGGAAUAAGGGGAGGGCAAGUCUGGUGUCAGCCGCCGCGGUAAUACCAGCUCCCCGAGUGGUCGGGACGAUUAUUGGGCCUAAAGCGUCCGUAGCCGGUCUAGUAAGUCCUCUGUUAAAUCCAGCGAUCUAAUCGCUGGACCGCAGGGGAUACUGCUAGACUAGGGGGCGGAAGAGGCUGGCGGUAUUCCCGAGGGAGGGGCGAAAUCCUGAGAUCUCGGGAGGACCACCAGUGGCGAAGGCGGCCAGCUGGGACGCGCCCGACGGUGAGGGACGAAAGCCGGGGGAGCGAACCGGAUUAGAUACCCGGUUAGUCCCGGCUGUAAACGAUGCGGGCUAGGUGUCAGGUCAACUACGAGUUGACUUGGUGCCGAAUGGAAGCAAAUAAGCCCGCCGCCUGGGGAGUACGGCCGCAAGGCUGAAACUUAAAGGAAUUGGCGGGGGAGCACACAAGGGGUGGAUGCUGCGGUUUAAUUGGAGUCAACCCCGGGAACCUUACCAGGGGAGACAGCAGGAUGAAGGCCAGAUUGAAGGUCUUGCCGGACGAGCUGAGAGGAGGUGCAUGGCCGUCGCCAGCUCGUGCCGUGAGGUGUCCUGUUAAGUCAGGCAACGAGCGAGACCCCUGUCCCUAGUUGCUAUCAGAACUCAGAAGGGUUCUGAGCACUCUAGGGAGACUGCCGUCGAUAAGGUGGAGGAAGGAGGGGGCUACGGCAGGUCAGUAUGCCCCGAAUCCCCUGGGCCACACGCGGCAUACAAUGGCAGGGACAAUGGGUUGCCACCCCGAAAGGGGGAGCCAAUCCCUAAACCCUGCCUCAGUUGGGAUCGAGGGUUGCAACUCUCCCUCGUGAACCCGGAAUCCCUAGUAAUCGCGCGUCACCAACGCGCGGUGAAUACGUCCCUGCUCCUUGCACACACCGCCCGUCGCUCCCCCCAAGUUGGGCCUAGAUGAGGUAUAGUCUCUUAUGGCUAUGUCGAAUCUAGGCUCGACGAGGGAGGAGAAGGCGUAACAAGGUGGCCGUACGGGAACGUGCGGCCGGAUCACCUCCU